RNAcentral lists this ribosomal RNA (254 nucleotides) under uncultured bacterium. RNAcentral's name for it is "partial 16S ribosomal RNA". It matches the Rfam family "Bacterial small subunit ribosomal RNA", at positions 524 to 776 of the family's 1533-position model. The record is from RNAcentral.
UACGAAGGGGGCUAGCGUUGUUCGGAAUUACUGGGCGUAAAGCGCGUGUAGGCGGGUCUUUUAAGUCAGGGGUGAAAUGCCAAGGCUCAACCUUGGAACUGCCUUUGAUACUGGAGACCUUGAGUCCGGGAGAGGUGAGUGGAAUUGCGAGUGUAGAGGUGAAAUUCGUAGAUAUUCGCAAGAACACCAGUGGCGAAGGCGGCUCACUGGCCCGAUACUGACGCUGAGGCACGAAAGCGUGGGGAGCAAACAGG